CCUACGGGAGGCUGCAGUGGGGAAUUUUCGGCAAUGGGCGGAACCCUGACCCAGCAAUGCCGCGUGAACGAAGAAGUUAUUCGUAAUGUAAAGUUCUUUUAAUAGGGAAGAAAGAGAAAUUUGACGUUACCUGAAGAAUAAGCUUCGGCUAACUACGUGCCAGCAGCUGCGGUAAUACGGAGGAUGCGAGCGUUAUCCGGAUUUAUUGGGUUUAAAGGGUGCGUAGGCGGAUCGUUAAGUCAGUGGUCAAAUUGCGGGGCUCAACCCCUUCCCGCCCUUGAAACUGGCGUUCUUGAGUGGAAGAGAAGUAUGCGGAAUGCGAGGUGUAGCGGUGAAAUGCAUAG
This 344-nucleotide ribosomal RNA is filed under the name uncultured bacterium. RNAcentral describes it as "partial 16S ribosomal RNA". It matches the Rfam family "Bacterial small subunit ribosomal RNA", at positions 338 to 693 of the family's 1533-position model. The record is from RNAcentral.